Molecule: ribosomal RNA, 759 nt
Filed under: uncultured bacterium
Lineage: Bacteria
Description: bacterial SSU rRNA
Rfam family: Bacterial small subunit ribosomal RNA
Source: RNAcentral
UCGCCCUUAGAGUUUGAUCCUGCUCAGGACGAACGCUGGCGGCGCGCCUAAUGAAUGCGAGUCGAACGAGAAGCAGACAGUUGAUCUCUUCGGAGUGAUUCAGUCUGUGGAAAGUGGCGAACGGGUGAGUAACACGUGGGUAACCUACCUCCGAGACGGGGACAACACAGGGAAACUUGUGCUAAUACCCGAUGGUCUACCGGUGCACAUGUACCGGAGAGUAAAUGGUCAGCCGCUCGGAGAUGGGCCCGCGGCCCAUUAGCUAGUUGGUGAGGUAACGGCUCACCAAGGCGACUAUGGGUAGCCGGUCUGAGAGGAUGGUCGGCCACACUGGGACUGAGACAUGGUCCAGACUCCUACGGGAGUUAGCAUCAGGGAAUCUUGCUCAAUGAGCGCAAGCUUGAAGCAGCGACGCCGCGUGUGGGAUGAAGGCCUUCGGGUCGUAAACCACUGUCAGGAGGGACGAAGAUCUGACGGUACCUCCAGAGGAAGCCCCGGCUAACUACGUGCCAGCAGCCGCGGUAAAACGUAGGGGGCCAGCGUUGUCCGGAAUUACUGGGCGUAAAGAGCGCGUAGGCGGUUUGGUUAGCGGAGGGUGCAAUCCAGAGGCUCAACCUCUGAACUGCUCUCCGAACUGCCAGACUUGAGUACGGGAGAGGGUAGUGGAAUUCCUGGUGUAGCGGUGGAAUGCGUAAAUAUCACGAGGAACACCCGUGGCGAAGGCUGCUACCUGGAACGUUACUGACGCUAAGGCGCGAA